UGGGGAAUUGUUCGCAAUGGGCGCAAGCCUGACGACGCAACGCCGCGUGGAGGAUGAAGAUCUUCGGGUCGUAAACUCCUUUCGAUCGAGACGAAUUCCUUCCGGGUGAACAAUCCGGAAGGUUGACGGUACCGAGAGAAGAAGCCCCGGCUAACUCCGUGCCAGCAGCCGCGGUAAUACGGGGGGGGCAAGCGUUGUUCGGAAUUACUGGGCGUAAAGGGCUCGUAGGCGGCCAACUAAGUCGGACGUGAAAUCCCUCGGCUUAACCGGGGAACUGCGUCCGAUACUGGAUGGCUUGAGUUCGGGAGAGGGAUGCGGAAUUCCAGGUGUAGCGGUGAAAUGCGUAGAUAUCUGGAGGAACACCGGUGGCGAAGGCGGCAUCCUGGACCGACACUGACGCUGAGGAGCGAAAGCCAGGGGAGCAAACGGGAUUAGAUACCCCUGUAGUCC
Molecule: ribosomal RNA, 450 nt
Filed under: uncultured bacterium
Lineage: Bacteria
Description: bacterial SSU rRNA
Rfam family: Bacterial small subunit ribosomal RNA
Source: RNAcentral